ACGGCUGUGGUCUAGUGGCAAGACUCGACCCUCCCAAGGUCGCGACUCGGGUUCAAAUGUUAAACUGUGUUUAACGCCCAGAAAAACGCAGUUUUUCUGAAUGUCCCGGCAGCCGUA
This 117-nucleotide transfer RNA is filed under the name Candidatus Woesearchaeota archaeon. RNAcentral describes it as "tRNA-Gly". RNAcentral also lists the same sequence under 1 other name. Lineage: Archaea; Nanobdellati; Candidatus Woesearchaeota. The record is from RNAcentral.